GAAUGGCAGAGUACCACCUGAACCACUUUGAGGUGUCACAUGCUGCCUUCACGAAGGGACACAGCCUGGAUGGUUCAGAUGACACUUUCCGAACGUGGCUCAAACGCUGUGAGGAGAUGAUGCGGCGAAUCAGAACGGAAAUGAGAAUAAGGUCUUCCUACAAUUAUUCUAUCUAUCUCUGUACCAUGCCUGUAUCUAUGUAAGUAUUGCACCAUACACUUUUAAAGGGCCACAAUGGAAAUAAGUAAUUUACUUUAUUGUGCUAUCCCUGGAAAUGUUGCAAUUUUUAUUUAUGUUAUAUUGUGUGUAUUUUCAAACUGAAAUAAAUCAACCAACGCAAACCUUAUGACUGUAUACAGUUUUUUCUGACAUUCAGUUCCACUCUCCGCCUCAUGGGGGCACUGUUGUUCCCAGCUUUCCAAACCUUACUUAUUCUGUUCUAAUUGCUAGAGCGAGCACAUCCAGUAAGCCCGGUCUCUUUCUCCCCUUUUUUGUUUGUUUAAACUUUCUCUCUUUUCCUGGGAUGCCUGGAUGCCACAGCAGACACA
Molecule: long non-coding RNA, 548 nt
Organism: Oncorhynchus nerka (sockeye salmon)
Lineage: Eukaryota; Metazoa; Chordata; Actinopteri; Salmoniformes; Salmonidae
Exons: 3
Source: RefSeq, a predicted model, not a curated record